UGAAUAAUAGCUCUUCAAGUCUGCAAUAAAAAAUGGCCUCCAAUAAAACUACAUUGCAAAAAAUGGGAAAGAAACAAAAUGGAAAGAGUAAAAAAGUUGAAGAGGCAGAACCUGAAGAAUUUGUAGUAGAAAAAGUACUAGACUGCUGUGUAGUGAACGGGAAGGUGGAGUAUUUUUUGAAGUGGAAGGGAUUUACAGAUGCAGACAAUACUUGGGAACCUGAAGAAAAUUUAGAUUGUCCAGAGUUAAUUGAAGCAUUUCUUAAUUCUCAAAAAGCUGGUAAAGAAAAAGAUGGAGCAAAAAGAAAAUCUUUGUCUGACAGUGAAUCUGAUGAUAGCAAAUCAAAGAAGAAAAGAGAUGCUGCUGAUAAGCCGAGAGGUUUUGCCAGAGGUCUUGAUCCAGAACGAAUAAUUGGUGCCACAGACAGCAGUGGAGAAUUAAUGUUCCUCAUGAAAUGGAAAGAUUCCGAUGAGGCGGACUUGGUACUGGCAAAAGAGGCAAAUAUGAAGUGUCCUCAAAUUGUAAUUGCUUUUUAUGAAGAGAGACUAACUUGGCAUUCUUGUCCAGAAGAUGAGGCUCAAUAAUUGUUUGCAUUGCCUUUUAUAUAUAUUUUUAUAUAUAUAUAAAAUGUGGGUCUUGGUUUUUUGAUUUAUUAGUGUGAAGAAAUAACUACAUUCUGAUGAAAAUCAUUGAUAUGUUUGUUUUCAAGUAAUACUGGGGAAGUUACAUUGGGUUUUUUUUUUUUUUUUUUCCAUCUGUAGCACCGGUUACUUUGAACAAAUAAAAGCUUUCUGUAGUUGCUUCCUUCAGUAGG
Molecule: non-coding RNA, 814 nt
Organism: Odocoileus virginianus texanus
Lineage: Eukaryota; Metazoa; Chordata; Mammalia; Artiodactyla; Cervidae
Source: RefSeq, a predicted model, not a curated record